RNAcentral lists this ribosomal RNA (504 nucleotides) under uncultured bacterium. RNAcentral's name for it is "partial 16S ribosomal RNA". It matches the Rfam family "Bacterial small subunit ribosomal RNA", at positions 28 to 523 of the family's 1533-position model. The record is from RNAcentral.
GAUGAACGCUAGCGGCAGGCUUAACACAUGCAAGUCGAGGGGCAGCAUAAAUAGUAGCAAUACUAUUGGUGGCGACCGGCGGACGGGUGCGUAACGCGUAUACAACCUUCCCUAAACAGGGGGAUAAUCUGGAGAAAUUCGGUCUAAUACCCCAUAACAUCAGAGCAGGCAUCUGUUUUGGUUAAAAUUUCCGGAGGUUUAGGAUGGGUAUGCGUAGCAUUAGCUAGUUGGUGAGGUAACGGCUCACCAAGGCGACGAUGCUUAGGGGGACUGAGAGGUUAACCCCCCACACUGGUACUGAGACACGGACCAGGCUCCUACGGGAGGCAGCAGUGAGGAAUAUUGGUCAAUGGGCGGAAGCCUGAACCAGCCAUGCCGCGUGCAGGAUGACGGCUCUAUGAGUUGUAAACUGCUUUUGUACGUGGGUAAAGUGGGCUACGUGUAGCCUUUUGAAAGUAUCAUACGAAUAAGGAUCGGCUAACUCCGUGCCAGCCGCCGCCGUAA